Molecule: ribosomal RNA, 491 nt
Filed under: uncultured bacterium
Lineage: Bacteria
Description: bacterial SSU rRNA
Rfam family: Bacterial small subunit ribosomal RNA
Source: RNAcentral
GAUGAACGCUAGCUACAGGCUUAACACAUGCAAGUCGAGGGGAAACGACAUCGAAAGCUUGCUUUUGAUGGGCGUCGACCGGCGCACGGGUGAGUAACGCGUAUCCAACCUGCCCACCACUUGGGGAUAACCUUGCGAAAGUAAGACUAAUACCCAAUGACGUCUCUAGAAGACAUCUGAAAGAGAUUAAAGAUUUAUCGGUGAUGGAUGGGGAUGCGUCUGAUUAGCUUGUUGGCGGGUAACGGCCCACCAAGGCGACGAUCAGUAGGGGUUCUGAGAGGAAGGUCCCCCACAUUGGAACUGAGACACGGUCCAAACUCCUACGGGAGGCAGCAGUGAGGAAUAUUGGUCAAUGGGCGAGAGCCUGAACCAGCCAAGUAGCGUGCAGGAAGACGGCCCUAUGGGUUGUAAACUGCUUUUAUAGGGGAAUAAAGUGAGCCACGUGUGGUUUUUUGCAUGUACCCUAUGAAUAAGGACCGGCUAAUUCCGUG